Molecule: ribosomal RNA, 301 nt
Filed under: Blastocystis sp.
Lineage: Eukaryota; Bigyra; Opalinata; Blastocystidae
Description: SSU rRNA
Rfam family: Eukaryotic small subunit ribosomal RNA
Source: RNAcentral
UCUCAAAGAUUAACCCAUGCAUGUGUAAGUGUAAAUAUACUAGUUUGGAACUGCGAAUGGCUCAUUAUAUCAGUUAUAGUUUAUUUGGUGAAGUGUACUACUUGGAUAACCGUAGUAAUUCUAGGGCUAAUACAUGAGAAAGUCCUCUGGUGAGGUGUGUUUAUUAGAAUGAAAACCAUAUGCUUCGGCAUGAUAGUGAGUAAUAGUAACCUAUCGUAUCGCAUGCUUAAUGUAGCGAUGAGUCUUUCAAGUUUCUGCCCUAUCAGCUUUCGAUGGUAGUAUAUGGGCCUACCAUGGCAGU